RNAcentral lists this ribosomal RNA (271 nucleotides) under uncultured archaeon. RNAcentral describes it as "partial 16S ribosomal RNA". It matches the Rfam family "Archaeal small subunit ribosomal RNA", at positions 477 to 747 of the family's 1478-position model. The record is from RNAcentral.
CAGCGCCCCAAGUGGCAAUCACGAUUAUUGGGCCUAAAGCGUUCGUAGCCGGUUUGGUAAAUCCUUUGUGAAAUCGUCGGGCUUAACCUGACGGCGUGCAGGGGAGACUGCCAGACUAGGGACCGGGAGGAGUCAGAGGUAUGCCGUGGGGACCGGUAAAAUGGGAUAAUCCACGGUAGACCACCGAUGGCGAAGGCAUCUGACCAGAACGGAUCCGACGGUGAGGAACGAAAGCCAGGGGAGCGAACCGGAUUAGAUACCCGAGUAGUCC